GUAGUUAUGUCAGAAUUAUAUGAGUUAGUUUUAAGCAUUAAUUAUGGAAUUUCCUAACUACU
This 62-nucleotide transfer RNA is filed under the name Hydatigera taeniaeformis. RNAcentral's name for it is "tRNA-Leu2". Lineage: Eukaryota; Metazoa; Platyhelminthes; Cestoda; Cyclophyllidea; Taeniidae. The record is from RNAcentral. RNAcentral also lists the same sequence under 1 other name.